RNAcentral lists this unclassified non-coding RNA (340 nucleotides) under Hevea brasiliensis (rubber tree). Lineage: Eukaryota; Viridiplantae; Streptophyta; Magnoliopsida; Malpighiales; Euphorbiaceae. The record is from RNAcentral.
CAAACCCUUGUGAUCCAAGAUUCACUUUUUCCUCUAAUAUAUAUCCACACAUAUACUUAACCUCAUCCCCAAUAACUAUCUCUUUCUCAGCGUUUUUCUUCACCAUACUGCCACUUUGGAAUGAAAAGAGCAGCGAUCUACAGCUGUGUACCCCUAAUGAAGGAUCAUUGGCCUAUCAAAAAGGCUCUGACGUUGUCUGAUGUAGAUAUCACUCAUCCAUUCCUCACUUUGUCUCGACAACAAGUGGAGAACCACAUUGUGUUGCAUAUGACAACAGAACAACAGGAACAUUUGAGAACCCAAGGCCAAAUAGAUUUUAAUGCCCGAGAUGAUGAUACAG